GACGAACGCUGGCGGCGUGCUUAACACAUGCAAGUCGAACGGAAAGGCCCUGCUUUUGUGGGGUGCUCGAGUGGCGAACGGGUGCGUAACACGUGAGUAACCUGCCCUUGACUUUGGGGUAACUUCAGGAAACUGGGGCUACUAUCGUAUAGGAGCCCCUGCUCCAUGGUGUGGGUUGGAACGUUUCGGCGGUUGGGAUGGACUCGCGGCUUAUCAGCUUGUUUGUGGGGUAGUGUAUUACCACGGCUUUGACGGGUAGCCGGCCUGGGAGGGUGACCGGCCACAUUGGGACUGAGAGACGGCCCAGACUCCUACGGGAGGCAGCAGUGGGGAAUAUUGCACAAUGGGCGGAAGCCUGAUGCAGCAACGCCGCGUGCGGGAUGACGGCCUUCGGGUUGUAAACCGCUUUCGCCUGUGACGAAGCGUGAGUGACGGUAAUGGGUAAAGAAGCACCGGCUAACUACGUG
RNAcentral lists this ribosomal RNA (467 nucleotides) under uncultured bacterium. RNAcentral describes it as "partial 16S ribosomal RNA". It matches the Rfam family "Bacterial small subunit ribosomal RNA", at positions 28 to 507 of the family's 1533-position model. The record is from RNAcentral.